Molecule: ribosomal RNA, 452 nt
Filed under: uncultured bacterium
Lineage: Bacteria
Description: bacterial SSU rRNA
Rfam family: Bacterial small subunit ribosomal RNA
Source: RNAcentral
UACGGGAGGCAGCAGUGGGGAAUAUUGCACAAUGGGCGCAAGCCUGAUGCAGCCAUGCCGCGUGUAUGAAGAAGGCCUUCGGGUUGUAAAGUACUUUCAGUCGUGAGGAAGGUGUUAAGGUUAAUAACCUUAGCAAUUGACGUUAGCGACAGAAGAAGCACCGGCUAACUCCGUGCCAGCAGCCGCGGUAAUACGGAGGGUGCGAGCGUUAAUCGGAAUUACUGGGCGUAAAGGGCACGCAGGCGGUUAAUUAAGUUGGAUGUGAAAUCCCCGGGCUUAACCUGGGAAUGGCAUUCAAGACUGGUUAGCUAGAGUCUUGUAGAGGGGGUAGAAUUCCAUGUGUAGCGGUGAAAUGCGUAGAGAUGUGGAGGAAUACCGGUGGCGAAGGCGGCCCCUGGGACAAAGGACUGAUGCUCAUGUGCGAAAGCGUGGGGAGCAAACGAGGAUUAGAU